GAGUUUGAUCAUGGCUCAGAUUGAACGCUGGCGGCAUGCCUUACACAUGCAAGUCGAACGGCAGCACGGGGGCAACCCUGGUGGCGAGUGGCGAACGGGUGAGUAAUACAUCGGAACGUGUCCUGUAGUGGGGGAUAGCCCGGCGAAAGCCGGAUUAAUACCGCAUACGAUCUGUGGAUGAAAGCGGGGGAUCCUUCGGGACCUCGCGCUACAGGGGCGGCCGAUGGCAGAUUAGCUAGUUGGUGGGGUAAAGGCCUACCAAGGCGACGAUCUGUAGCUGGUCUGAGAGGACGACCAGCCACACUGGGACUGAGACACGGCCCAGACUCCUACGGGAGGCAGCAGUGGGGAAUUUUGGACAAUGGGCGAAAGCCUGAUCCAGCAAUGCCGCGUGUGUGAAGAAGGCCUUCGGGUUGUAAAGCACUUUUGUCCGGAAAGAAAACCUCGUGGUUAAUACCCGUGGGGGAUGACGGUACCGGAAGAAUAAGCACCGGCUAACUACGUGCCAGCAGCCGCGGUAAUACGUAGGGUGCAAGCGUUAAUCGGAAUUACUGGGCGUAAAGCGUGCGCAGGCGGUUCGCUAAGACAGAUGUGAAAUCCCCGGGCUUAACCUGGGAACUGCAUUUGUGACUGGCGGGCUAGAGUAUGGCAGAGGGGGGUAGAAUUCCACGUGUAGCAGUGAAAUGCGUAGAGAUGUGGAGGAAUACCGAUGGCGAAGGCAGCCCCCUGGGCCAAUACUGACGCUCAUGCACGAAAGCGUGGGGAGCA
Molecule: ribosomal RNA, 768 nt
Filed under: uncultured eubacterium WD2121
Lineage: Bacteria
Description: bacterial SSU rRNA
Rfam family: Bacterial small subunit ribosomal RNA
Source: RNAcentral